AAAGGCAAAAAAGUCCAACUUCAAGUGCCCAUAACUCCUUCAUCAAAAAUCCAAAUGAUUCAAAAUUUAAAUCCAGUUUGAUUGACUUGAAAAGACCUACAACUUUGAUGUUGGAAGUGUUUCCAUUUGAGGCUCUCAUAAUCAAAGGCAUGUUUUGCACUAUGAACUUCAUGGCCUGUUUUCAUAAAUUUCCACACUCCAAAUGAGUUUUGGUCCAACAUAACAUUUGUUCCUUAUGUCAAGACCU
This 247-nucleotide long non-coding RNA is filed under the name Lathyrus oleraceus (garden pea). RNAcentral describes it as "Pisum sativum (pea) long non-coding RNA (PSAT_LNC001896)". The record is from RNAcentral. Lineage: Eukaryota; Viridiplantae; Streptophyta; Magnoliopsida; Fabales; Fabaceae.